GGUUGCCCCAGAAAAACACCAGCAUCUGUUAGAUGGCUUCUCCAUCAAGACUUCAAUCUCAAAGGGCAAUACUGUGCGGCAAAAGAAGAGCUGGCUCCUGGAGGACUUCUGGGGCCCCAGGCAUGGAUCAAUGUUUGCAUCAGAAAAGAAAGCCUGUCAGCAAUGGAGGUGCUGGAGGAUUUCUGGAAGGGGGGGGCCUCAUUCAAGACCACCAAGGGACUGCUGACUGUUCUCGUUCAUGACGCCUCUCUUCAAGGAAAUUGACCCUCCCAGAGUGCAAGACGGAGAAAAAGGUUCUUAAGAACUUCCCCUGGAAAUCACCACUGAAUGGAUGCCAGGCAAUUCUAGAAUCUCCACUCUUUGGUUUUUUGGGCCCUUGGAUGGAUGAG
This 389-nucleotide long non-coding RNA is filed under the name Homo sapiens (human). RNAcentral's name for it is "non-protein coding lnc-FLI1-3:1". Lineage: Eukaryota; Metazoa; Chordata; Mammalia; Primates; Hominidae. The record is from RNAcentral.